Molecule: long non-coding RNA, 237 nt
Organism: Parasteatoda tepidariorum (common house spider)
Lineage: Eukaryota; Metazoa; Arthropoda; Arachnida; Araneae; Theridiidae
Source: RefSeq, a predicted model, not a curated record
UUCACGUUGCACGGAUUAAAUAUUUAAGCUGAGAACGUUAUGAUUCGAGUCUUUAGUGAAAAGGAAGUUUCUCGUUCGACAUUUUCAAAAAUACAGCAAUGAAAGUAUCUGCUGUGUCCUCCCUUUUAUUAAUCGUUGCAAGUGUGAGCAUCAUCAGAGGAGCUCCAAGACUAGAUACAAAUGAAAGUACACUUAAAGAAAAAGAACUUAAGGAAAUGGUUGGAGAUUUCAUUAUUA